This 4722-nucleotide long non-coding RNA is filed under the name Sus scrofa (pig). RNAcentral describes it as "lncRNA (ENSSSCG00030040449.1)". Lineage: Eukaryota; Metazoa; Chordata; Mammalia; Artiodactyla; Suidae. The record is from RNAcentral.
AACAGAUAGCCUGUGUUAGCUUUGGCUUCCCUGAUUCUAAUCAGCACCUAGGCUAGGAAGUUGGGGUGACUUUGAUCUUGCUGGAAUCCUUGGUGUUCUUGGGAGCUCAUGUAGUUGACUGACUAAAAAAUUUAAUCUCUCGCGGUGAAUGUGUUCUUCCUAGUUUUUAAGGAAGAUUUUGGGGAAGUCUUUCAUCCUGUAGUCAUUCUUGAAUUUGUUGUCCAUGUAAAUAUGGAUUUUUCCAUUAUUAUGUUUGUGUUAAUCACAGCACAGUGAAGAAAUUUCUCAUUCAUGAAUCACUGGCCAAGGAACGUUGCUCAUAGCUCCAUAAAAACAACGCAGACAUCUUUGAUACUUAGUUAAAAAGCAUCACUCACGCCUAGCUUUGACCCCAGGUGACCUGAAAAUGAGGUUUGAGGACCACUGGACUUCUAAUCACCCCAGAUGCCACUACAAACGCAGAGUUUGGGGUCUUGUCCCGCACUCACCAAAUCAGAAUUCUUCAGUUUUAACAAACUUCCCAGAGACCCCUGAAGCUCACUAAAGUGGACGUGCAUGCUGGUGCCUCUGACCAAGCUUCUUCCUAAGGGCUCACAGUGAUGAUGGCUUUGUACCCACAACGUCAGCCUUUGGGAUCCUUGACCUCUGCCCUGCCUCCUGCCCGCAGCAGGUCGUCACGGGUCAUCUGUGGUCCCACUGCCUCUGGGGGAUGAGCCUGCAGGCAGCAUCAUUCUCCAGGUUUUCCCAGGACAGGAUCUGAGCACAGUGUUUGACAGCCCUGAGCAAAGAUCUCAAAAGCACCAUCUUUCCGGGGAGGGGAGCCAAACCCCUCUUCUAGGCUCUGGUUAAAACCAGUGCAAAUUAAAAUACAAAAAACAAAAAUAAAAAAAACCAGCUGUUGAUUCACAAAGCAGAGUCCUGCCUGCAUUUAGGAAAGGUUACUUUAUCCCCAAACCAGGAUCACUGCCAAGUGACUGACUUACCUGCACGUGGGGUACUUGUAGCUUCUCUCCAGCUCUGCCUCACCCCACCCCCACCCUCAGCCUUUCAUGGAGGCUGAAACCAGUCUAGACUGUAAAUGGAGCCACGUGCAGAUGGUACCUGUCACAGUAGCUCCCAAGGCAAAUGAGCAGUGGUCGUGACAUGCAGGUAAAGGCUUAAGGGCCAGCUCUUUGGGGGAGGGGCUGGUUUGUACAUUUGGUGAUUUCCGUGAAGGAUAUACUCCCAUCCUGGCCAACGUUAAGCUACCGCCUCUCAAGACGUCUGCCGAUGUCACGAUGGGCUCCUGUGAGCUGGGAUGAAUUGGCUCCAGCACAGGACAAUCCCAAGACAAAGAGACUGAUUGGCUUUAACUGGGUUUGUGCAGGGAGGGGUGACCGAGGCCCACAGCUAGCUCUGCAGUAAAGAGGGAGGACUGGGGAGCACUGGCUAGUCAGCCUAGACUUCGGGGGAGAGCAAAUCCCUGUUCUGGCUCUUGUUAUUUCCACCUCUCUCCUGAGCAGCUGAGAACAGCCAUGUGGCAGAGGGCGUGUGAUUUUUCACGGACUUCAGGGGCACUCAUCUUCGCCUUUAAUGGAAAACCAUCCCAGCUUAUACCAAUGGGAAGAGCUAAUACCCAUAGCUCUGUGCAUCUCUGGUGGGCAGAGGAAGUAGACGGGAGCCGUUUCUAUGUGCAUCUCUCUGCCACACCACUGCUGAAUAUGUGUUUUAAGAGCAACGGGUACUGUGAGCAAUAAUCAGAGAUGAAGUGGAAUUCAAGAGCCCGACUCAUGCCAGUUUCUAAACUCAUCCUUCCUAAGUGUGGCUGGAAAGGGAGGCGGGGCCAAUAGGCACACACCCCCCUCUCUCCCGGUGAGAGGAAACCUCACAAUGGGUUCCCUAGACCAAGAGCUCCAGAUGGAGUGAAAGCCCAGAGGUGGCAAAUUCUGUGUCACUGUGUGACCCUGGGCCUCUCAUUGAGCUGCCAGAAGCCCUGGGUUCCCCAUGGCGCUGGGGACCCAGCACGGUUCUCAGGAGCGCUCUUCUGGUUGCAAGGAACAGACACUACUCGGACUGGCCCAAGGCAACGCUGUGUUAGCUGUGGGGAUGAAGGGAUCCUAGAGCAGAGCAUUGCAUCCAUCCAGGAGAACAGAGGCCGUUCAGGACUGAGGCGGUCCUUCGGUUUUCUUUCUUUCUCUGGUUCCAUUUGGUCUUUCAUCUCCUCUCCAAUCUCCUGCCUCUGAAGACAGGCCUCCUUGUGCCUUUAGACUGUACUCAGCCCGACAUGGUCACCCGUCAGCGCUCACCCGCAGGAGUUCUCAUCUCAUGUUCUCGUCUCCAAGAGUGCCUUGGAGGUCAAAUCUACAGGAAUGAAAAUCUGAUUGACCUACGUUGUGUGUUUAAGCCAAGCAGAUGCUGAAUCACAGGGCAGACCCUGCACUCCGACGUCCUUUGGCUGUGGUGUCUGCCCACGUGUGAUCCUCUCGGCCAUGACUGGAGAAGCCGGGGCGAGAAACACAGCACGUGCCGGUGUGUCCUUGAGGAAGCCACGAUGCAGCCCUCAGUGCUUCCCAGAACUGUGGGCUGCACAUGAAUGGCAUGAAACACUGUAACAGACAUCCAGAGAUGACCAGCUUUUUGCAUAGGAUUGAAGAAAUCCAUAUUGCAAUACUAUAUCAUUGAGUUUUGAUAACAAAUUUUAGUUUUUUAUGGGAAGAGAGGUUUUUUUUCUCCCCUUUGCUUCUGGUUAUUUUCUUUUUUUUCAAGUUUUGAAAAAAUUACAGUUGAUUUGCAAUGUUCUGUCAUUUCUAUGACACAGCAAAGUGACCCAGUUAUACAUAUAUAUAUACACACAUUCUAUUUUUGCAUAUUACCUUCUCCUGUUGUAUCACAAGUGAUUGGAUACAGUUCCCUGUGCUGUACAGCAGGACCUCAUUGCUUAUUCAUCCUAAAUGGAAUCGUUUGCAUCUACUAACCCCAAACUCCCAGUUCAUCUCACUCCCUCCCCCUCCCCCUUGGCAACCACAAGUCUGUUCUCCAUGCCUGUGAGUCUGUUUCUGUUUUGUAGAUAGGUUCACUUAUGCCAUAUUUUAGCCUCUACAUAUAAGUGAUGUCAUACGGUAUUUGUCUUUCUCUUUAUGACUUAGACACUGAUACUCAGCAAAGCGAUUACCCCAAGGCCCAGCUGUUAGGAAACGGCAGAACUAGGCUUAACGUCAGGUUUUCUGACUCCACAUCCAGGGCUCUUUCCUCCUGGCAAAGGAUCAGACAAUCAAGGGCGAGGAAGGACUGUACAGAAACGGUUCUGAAGCUUUAUCUAGAGCUCAGGACUUUGGUUUUAAGUGAAAGAAUCCAACUCCGACUAUUUUGAGCAAAAUGAGAAUAUACUGGCUUCUGCAACAGAAGAGCUCAGGAGCAUCUGGACUCCAAACAUGGAGCCCUGGUGUUCUUCCUCUCCCCUGGCACCACCUUGAGGCUUCCUGAUCCUUAGGAUUCUCAGUCAGACUUCCUCUGCAAGGAGACAAGGGGGCCUCCAGCAUCUUCACAGCUUCACAUCCAGGAGGAGAAAGUCCUGCAUCAUGACAGUCUAAGAAAUCCAGAAAUUGAUCUUGGACUUGACUAGAUCCUGAGCCCAUUCCUGGAUCAGCCCAUCACUUCUGCUGGGUGGAUCUGAUGAUCCCAGAGGCCUGGCAGGAGUCCCAAGUUCACCACAGAACCCUGAGUUGGUGUCAGCCCACACGCAAUCCUGGGACUUGAGAGGAGGGGCGGGGUGGCUCCCUGGAGCGAAACUGAGGUGCUGUGACCUCAGAGGAAGGGGUGAUGGCUGCUGAACAGGCAAAACACAACAGUUAUUCCCCUUGGGGUAGGAAAAAAUGAAGCGCAUGUGAGCCUGAGUGAACUCUGGGGGCACAGGUAGGAGACAACACUUAGCACUUGGGUGUGGACACAAGAGGUGCCCAAUAAAUAUUGAUAAAUAAAUGAAUGAAUGGUCCAGACUGUUGUGGAAUAAUGAAGGGCAGGUGCCUCUGGGGCAUAGGACGUAUAAGGGAACACUGGAGAGAAGAUGCUGGGGCCAUAAUGAAAAGUACCUUGUAAGCCACGGUGCUUGUUUUCAGGCCAUGAGAGCUUCUGAAGGUUUUUUGAUCCAGGGUGUGCCAUGGUCAAUGUUUGGAGGAGAAAAACAAAAACAUGGAAAUUUCAACGUGCUAUACUCUUGUGCAAGUAUUAUCUUUUAUGGGCCUGGUGUGUCCUCCUUGCCCUUGAAGCUUUUCCCGUUAAGAUUUGGAAUCCCUUUAUCUGAAAGUCCCUAAGACAAGAAAACUGUGAGUAGUCACAGGGGCAGAGUGGCAGCGGGCUACCUGAGUCUGAUCAGGUACGCCCACCCCCUUUGUGGGCCUCCACGUAUGUAGCCCCACCCAGACGAAGGUGAAGGCCUGAACUCCACGACACUGGAGUUUCUCAGACUCACAUCUGUGGGAUGGUAGAACAGGUCUGGGUGCGGCCCCCCCCGGGGUGUGUGAACGUUCUUCGUGCUGGAGGUGUGCUCGCUGCCAUGCAAUUUCAUGUCAUGACUAGGCAUGAUUUAUUGGCAUUCUUUAUUACACCUGACUUGGAGGAGGGGUCUCGGAUGAGACUUCCGGGGAUGGGGGGAAUAUCUCACCACGAAUGCCCUCCCAGGACCAGGCACAUCUCAAGUGGUGACUUGAAUCGACUGGGGUUGGAAGAGUAUCGGCAGAGAGCUCU